This 23-nucleotide non-coding RNA is filed under the name Arabidopsis thaliana (thale cress). The record is from RNAcentral. Lineage: Eukaryota; Viridiplantae; Streptophyta; Magnoliopsida; Brassicales; Brassicaceae.
CGCGAACCUACUCUCCGACGUGA